CCUACGGGAGGCAGCAGUGGGGAAUAUUGCACAAUGGGGGAAACCCUGAUGCAGCGACGCCGCGUGAGGGAAGAAGGCUUUCGGGAUGUAAAGCUCUAUCAGCAGGGAAGAAAAUGACGGUACCUGAGUAAGAAGAUGCGGAUAAAUACGUGCCAGCAGCCGCGGUAAUACGUAUGGAGCAAGCGUUAUCCGGAUUUACUGGGCGUAAAGGGAGCGUAGGGGGCCUGCCAAGUCUGAUGUGAAAUACCGGGGCUCAACCCCGGGGCUGCAGGGGAAACUGGCAGGCUGGAGUGCCGGAGAGGCAGGCGGAAUUCCUAGUGUAGCGGUGAAAUGCGUAGAUAUUAGGAGGAACACCAGUGGCGAAGGCAGCCUGCUGGACGGUGACUGACGCUGAUGCUCGAAAGCGUGGGUAGCAAACAGGAUUAGAUACCCGAGUAGUC
RNAcentral lists this ribosomal RNA (440 nucleotides) under uncultured bacterium. Its description in RNAcentral is "partial 16S ribosomal RNA". It matches the Rfam family "Bacterial small subunit ribosomal RNA", at positions 338 to 795 of the family's 1533-position model. The record is from RNAcentral.